This 301-nucleotide ribosomal RNA is filed under the name uncultured bacterium. Its description in RNAcentral is "partial 16S ribosomal RNA". It matches the Rfam family "Bacterial small subunit ribosomal RNA", at positions 509 to 809 of the family's 1533-position model. The record is from RNAcentral.
CAGCCGCCGCGGUAAUACGGAGGGGGCUAGCGUUGUUCGGAAUUACUGGGCGUAAAGCGCACGUAGGCGGCUUUGUAAGUUAGAGGUGAAAGCCCGGAGCUCAACUCCGGAAUUGCCUUUAAGACUGCAGAGCUAGCAGGUGAGAGAGGUGAGUGGAAUUCCGAGUGUAGAGGUGAAAUUCGUAGAUAUUCGGAAGAACACCAGUGGCGAAGGCGGCUUACUGGCUCAUUCUAGACGCUGAGGUGCGAAAGCGUGGGGAGCAAACAGGAUUAGAUACCCGAGUAGUCCCUGUCUCUUAUAU